Molecule: ribosomal RNA, 467 nt
Filed under: uncultured bacterium
Lineage: Bacteria
Description: partial 16S ribosomal RNA
Rfam family: Bacterial small subunit ribosomal RNA
Source: RNAcentral
GACGAACGCUGGCGGCGUGCUUAACACAUGCAAGUCGAACGGAAAGGCCCUGCUUUUGUGGGGUGCUCGAGUGGCGAACGGGUGAGUAACACGUGAGUAACCUGCCCUUGACUUUGGUAUAACUUCAGGAAACUGGGGCUAAUACCGGAUAGGAGCUCCUGCUGCAUGGUGGGGGUUGGAAAGUUUCGGCGGUUGGGGAUGGACUCGCGGCUUAUCAGCUUGUUGGUGGGGUAGUGGCUUACCAAGGCUUUGACGGGUAGCCGGCCUGAGAGGGUGACCGGCCACAGUGGGACAGAGAGACGGCCAAGACUCCUACGGGAGGAAGGAGUGGGGAAUAGUGCAAAAUGGGCGGAAGCCUGAUGCAGCAACGCCGCGUGCGGGAGGACGGCCUUCGGGUUGUAAAACGCUUUCGCCUGUGACGAAGCGUGAGUGACGGUAAUGGGUAAAGAAGCACCGGCUAACUACGU